CCCAUGAUGUUGUUAAUGAUCUCAAAAGUGGUUACUAGGUCAGGAGUUCAGUUUGCCAUUGUUUCGGUUUUUGUUUUGGUAUUCUUGGACCCCUGAUGGGAUUUAGAACUUUAGAUCUGAGUUUUCUUCCUAUUAGAAUUA
Molecule: long non-coding RNA, 141 nt
Organism: Telopea speciosissima
Lineage: Eukaryota; Viridiplantae; Streptophyta; Magnoliopsida; Proteales; Proteaceae
Exons: 3
Source: RefSeq, a predicted model, not a curated record